Anguilla rostrata (American eel) is the source of this 624-nucleotide long non-coding RNA. RefSeq lists it as uncharacterized. Lineage: Eukaryota; Metazoa; Chordata; Actinopteri; Anguilliformes; Anguillidae. The record is from RefSeq and is a predicted model, not a curated record. The transcript has 3 exons.
GCCAGACCCACAAUGCCAGGACUCAGAGUAUCCUUCCCCAUUACUGAGAGGAUCGCAGCUGCAAGGACCACGGCAUUGCCCAGGAACUCAAGAUUCACCGCCAACCACCUACAGAUCACACAUGGUACACCCCUUGGCCCGAUGACUUUGUCAAAGAUGUGCUGACCCACAUGAGCGUCCACAGCAGACAGGGGGUCAUCGAGGAGGUACAGAUCAGCCUUUCUGUACACGGCACGAGCCAGGCUCACUCUCUGCUUCUGCCCCCCUGAGAGGUUCAGGCCCUGAAACGCGAUUAAAUACCAAAGGCAAGAUCUCCAGGUCUGGCAGCAGGGCACAGGCCUCUAAUACCCGCUGGUACCAGCUCUCCUUCCUCUCACGCCCAAACACAAUGUUGUCUCUCAGAGUGGCGUUCUGGAUCCAGGCUUGCUGAGGCACGUAGGCAACUGAACCCUGGGAAGCAGAGCAGAGGCGGCUGUGGAGAUGAGCUGGGAGAAAACCUUAGCUUUGCUUACAGUCUUUCUAUAGUAUGCUAAUUCCCUACCAAUGUGUGAAACAAACUAUGGUACCGUUACAGUUUCAAUUUAGAUUUCAUAUUUUCUGCAGUAAAUCAGACUACUAAAAUUC